This is a non-coding RNA of Pteropus alecto (black flying fox), 74 nucleotides long. NCBI's taxonomy places the organism in Eukaryota, Metazoa, Chordata, Mammalia, Chiroptera, Pteropodidae. The record is from Rfam.
GGCUCCAUAGUGUAGAGGUUAGCACGUCUGCUUUACACACAGAAGGUCCUGGGUUCGCGCCCCAGGUGAAGCCA